RNAcentral lists this ribosomal RNA (466 nucleotides) under uncultured bacterium. RNAcentral's name for it is "partial 16S ribosomal RNA". It matches the Rfam family "Bacterial small subunit ribosomal RNA", at positions 338 to 795 of the family's 1533-position model. The record is from RNAcentral.
CCUACGGGUGGCAGCAGUGGGGAAUCUUCCGCAAUGGGCGCAAGCCUGACGGAGCAACGCCGCGUGAAUGAAGAAGGUCUUCGGAUCGUAAAGUUCUGUUCUUAGGGACGAAGUCUUAGGUUGUGAAUAAUGACUUAAGGUGACGGUACCUAUGGAGAAAGCUCCGGCUAACUACGUGCCAGCAGCCGCGGUAAUACGUAGGUGGCAAGCGUUGUCCGGAUUUAUUGGGCGUAAAGCGAGUGCAGGCGGUUCAAUAAGUCUGAUGUGAAAGCCUUCGGCUCAACCGGAGAAUUGCAUCAGAAACUGUUGAACUUGAGUGCAGAAGAGGAGAGUGGAACUCCAUGUGUAGCGGUGGAAUGCGUAGAUAUAUGGAAGAACACCAGUGGCGAAGGCGGCUCUCUGGUCUGCAACUGACGCUGAGGCUCGAAAGCAUGGGUAGCGAACAGGAUUAGAUACCCUUGUAGUC